Molecule: non-coding RNA, 7123 nt
Organism: Vicugna pacos (alpaca)
Lineage: Eukaryota; Metazoa; Chordata; Mammalia; Artiodactyla; Camelidae
Source: RefSeq, a predicted model, not a curated record
UUUUAAAUGGGCAAAGGAGUUAAAUAGACAUUUCCCCAAAAACAUGUAAAUGGCCAAUAAGCACAUGAAAAGAUGCUCAAACUCAUUAGUUGUUAAGGAACUGCAAAUCAAAACCACACUGAGAUAUAAUUUCACACUCAUGGCUAAUGGGUGGGUUGGUGGGUAAGCGUGGGCAAGGAUGUGGAUCAAUUGGAACUGUACCCAUUGUUAGGGAGAAUGAGAAUUGUGCAGGUGCUCUGGAAAAAGAGUUUGGUAGUUCCUCAAGGUGGAGGUGUCUACUCUGCUUAUGUACCCAAGAGAACUGAAAGCAUGUGUUCACACAAAAAGGCAUAUACCAAUGUUUAUAGCAUUAUUCAUAAUAGCCAAAAGUGGAAACAACUCGACUCUAUCAACUGAUAACAAAAUGUGAUAAACAAAGUGUGGUAUAUCCAUACAAGGGAAUAUUAUUCAGCCAUACAAAAGAAUGAAGUACCUUUACAUGCUACAACAUGGGUAAACCUUGAAAACACUGUCUAAAUGAAAAUAGCCAGGCACAAAGGCCACGUAUUGUAUGAUUCCAUCUACAUGAAAUGUCCAGAAUAGGCAAAUUCACAGAGACAGAAAGUAGAUUAGUGAUUGCCAGGACCUAUGGGGAAAGGGAUGGUGACUGCUAAUAGGUACAGAUGUCUUUUCAGGGAGAUGAAAAUGAUCUGGAAUAGAUAGUGAUGAUGGUUGUAUAACCUGUGAAUAUACUAAAACCCAUUGGAUUAUACACUUUAAAAGAGUAAAUUUUAUGGUACGUGAAUUACAUCUCAAAAAAAUAGCAUAUAUGGAGAGACACAGUUAAGGUAGAAAAUGUUGAAAAGUUGUGAGAAAUCAUAAGAAAUGUAUCCCAGUGGACUUCAGUGAUAGGAAACAUCGACGGGGACUGAAGAGCAAGACAUACUCACUGAAAAACUCCGUUUCCAUUCAUGGCAGAGAGAAGCGUCAGCACUGAGGGACAAAGCGCUAGAGGCUAGUGUGUCAUUCCUUCUCCCCGUCACACUCCCAACUCAGGGACUCUUGUCUCGGGGCUGGCAAAGCUUCUCCAGUGGCCUUGGACUGAAGGCGAAGGUCAUUCUGGUCGUGGUUACAUGUGGUCACACUAAAUCCCUUUUAAGAGCAGAUUUUCUCAUAAUACCCCAGGCAGCCAUGGAGCACCUACUCUGUGCAGGCACUGUUUUAGUGACUUCGGAUCUAGCAGUAAACUAGCCAGCAGAGACCCCUGCCCUUGGGAAGAUUAUAUUCUAGUCAGGGGGGACAGACAGAAGAUACUGAAUAUAGUAAGUCAACUGUGGAGUGUGGCUGACGGUGAUGAGUGCUGAGGAACAGUGAAGGUCUGAUGGAGGGUGAGGGAGGCCUGGAGCAGGUUGCAGUGGAGUAGGUCAGGGAACGAGGAUGCCGAGGGUCUGAGCCAAGCAGGCACCUGGAGGAAGUGCAUGUUAGAGAGAAAGCUGGAGAGUGAGGUCCCCCAAGGGGAGAGGAGGGUGCCUGACUGUCAGGGAACAGCAGGACGCCUGCAUGCCUGGAGCAGGCUUGAGGAGGGACAGACGUGGAGAAACUUGAGCCCAUUGUGAGGACUUUUAAUUGGAGUGAAAUGCAGAGCAAAGAAGUAACAUGAACUGACAUCUUUUAAAGACUCGUCUUGGAUGCUGUGGUGACACAGACGGUAGGACGGCACAUUCUUUUGGUUCUCACAAAGUCUCAGUCUUUUCCAAGUAUAGCAAGAUGGAAAACCUCGUAACAACUGAAGAAAUGCCAAUUUGCCCCAGAUAUUUGAACGAUGGCAAGUGUGGAUGAUACUCAGCGUUGGGGAAGGAUACGGGAAACAGACACUCAUACUGAUUCAUUGUAUUAGUGCACAUUUUGGAAGACAACUUAGACCUCACAGCAUGCAGACCUUUCAACCCAGGAAUUCCAGUUCCCAGAAUGUGUGCAACAGAAACACUUGCUCAAAUGUGCAACGAUAAAGCCCAAGGGUUUUCAUCGCAGUAUUGUUUGUAAUAGUGAAUAAUGGAAAACAACGUAAACUAAUAGGGGACAGUUUAAUAAAUUACAGCAAUAAUAAAAAUAGUUAACAUUUAUUGAGAACUUAUCAGGUGCUGGGUGCUGUUCUAAGUACUUUACGUGUAUUAGCUGAUUGACUCCUCACAGCAAUCCCUGGAGAGAUACUAUUAUUUUGUCUAUUUCACAGAAUGGACAACUGAGGCACAGAGGGCCUAAGUAACUUGGAAAAAAAGCAAAUUUUGAAAUAGUAUGAAUCACUUGAUUUCACUUUCUAGAUUCAUGUAUGUACAUAUAUUUCAUACGUGCGUGGGAAAAUUCUGUAUAGGUACAGAGGAAUCUGGUAAUAGUUAAUGCUGAAAAGUGGAAAUUGGGAAGGAGGAUUUUCACUUUUACUUCAUACACUUUUGUAGUUCUGAUUUUUUUUUAAAUAAGCUUUAGUUUUACAAUUUAAAAACAAAUAAAUUAACCCCUAAAAAAGCACCUAAAUGCAUUACAUCUACGUGAUUCAGUUCCAUUUCACUGAAGAAAGACUAAAGAAGGCUCUUGAAGCUGGCUGUAAGAAGAAAUUUUAUUCCAGUGAGUCACCCCCAGGACAGGGAGAAGUGUGCGUUGUGAAAGAACUAAACGGAGAUUGACAUUCCAAAUUGGCUUAACAGAGGAGAAAAGUGGGGGUAGCAGAGGAAGGUAGGGAAAUAGGACAGUUGAGAGCAUAGGCCAACAGGAUUUGGCUGGAGGAAACACACUCAGAGAGCAGAGCAGAAUCGCCCCUCAGGGCUGCCCUCCGUCCAGCUGGUGGUCCUCCCAUGGGAGCAUCUCAGCCCCUGUCUCAGGCAGACAUGGCAGCGGGUGCUUUCUGUGCAUUCAGCCAAGUAUUCUGGCACAACGUCUCAUCCUAAGGAGUCAGGCGAACUUGUUUUCUUCAUGAAUGGAAGAUAAGUAAGUUUUUCACACUGCAGUUUCUAAAUGUAUAUAGAGAAAGAAAACAUGGUAGAAAGAGCAUAUUAGGUUCAGAUGACCAGUGUGUGAACUGUGAUUGACUCAACGACUGUGACAAACCUCUGUGAAGUUUUAGUUCCCUGUGAGGAGGGGGUGGAAUCUGCUCGUGAGACAUAUUAGGAUUACGAGGUGAAAGGCACUUGAUUACAUUGAUGUUUUCAGAAGGUAUUUGGUAAUCACAUUAGUAUUCAUCUAAGUGUCAGGCAUCGAUUUCUCUUCAUUACCAUCUUCCGCAUUUUUCUUCCUCCCACUUCCUUCUUCCCCUCUGUCUCCUGAAACCACCCUCCAUGGCCCCACACAAACACACAUAAAUUAAGAGUGUAAAAUCCCCAGAUCAUUGGGAACUAAUUAUAAAACUUUCGACGAGCCAGGCUAGAAGAGAAGUCAUACUGGAAAACCAGGGAUAAAUUUUCACAGUUAGUUUACAUUUUAAUCUGUUGCUCCUUUAAGUUGCCUUAAAUCACUCAACACAAUGGGCAAAGUAAUUUUCUGGUCCCACUUUUGUUUUGAGUUCUUGAGGUUUAGCUAAGGCACAAUCCACCAAUGGAACAUGCUCUCUGCUGUUCACUGUCCUUGGCACUGCACCUGAAGGGCAGCGCAGCAUCAUUGUUUCCAGCACCACUGGCAAAGAAGGGGUAGUCAAGGUUGAAACUGAGCGUAAUGGUCCUGUGUGCUGUGCACCCCACACAGGGCUGUAUACAGAAGUGGAGGCUCGGGGCAGUUAUGUAAUGUGCCCGAGGUCACAAAGCUAACAGGCAUCACUAGGACCUUGCUUCUCACUUUCUGCUCCCAGGUUUGUGUUUCCCCUGCGCCAUGUUCCCCCUCCUGAGGUGGUGGCAAGCCUUCUAGAAUCCCUCCACCAGUGGGAAGUGGCAGUGGGGCAUGCGACUAUUUUCCUGCAGGUGCUGGAAUAAUGCUCUUUGUCUACUGCUGCCAAAGUCCUGUUUUCUUAACUUUUCAAAUAUGAGUGGGGAGAGGCUGCAGCUCAGUGGUUAGAGUAAUGCUUAGCAUGCACGAGGUCCUGGGUUCAAUCCCCAAUGCCUCCGUUAAAAUAACUAAAUAAAUCUAAUUACUUCCCCCACAAACAAACAACCCUCCCCCUAAAAAACUCCACAAAUAUGAGUGGAGAGCAGAGUGUAUGUUCUGCAAGUAGUGAUGAGAGUUAAAACACUUUUAUUUAACAGUGUGAACUCGAGAAUUUUAAAAGUUCAUAAUAUUCAAUAUUUCAUCAUCUUUUAUUGUUUUCCUGAAACCAGUGUUGUGUUAGAAUGCAAAUCCCUUGUUGGUUAUCCUCUGAAACGAAGGCAAACAUUUGUCUUGCCAAAAUGAAGCCAAAUACAAUACAGAGUUAUGUAAUUUUAUAAUUGCAAAGAAUGAUGUUUGACCAACUCAGGCAAACAAGAUCAACAAACGUAUUCUAAAUGAUUCUUAUUAUUCAGAAGUAACGGGCUGCAGGGACCCUUCCUCAAUCUAUAUAAUCAUUCCCUCUGCAGGGGUCAUUGAGAGUAAUUCAAACCUGGAAGUAAAUUUAUUAUUCUACCUGAGAAAAAACUGUAUCAUUUUGUUUGUUUGGGAAAGCAAAGCAAAUAAACUCGGGAAACUUUGCAGUCUCUCUUGCAUUUAGAGAAAUUUUUCCUCCUAUCAGGAUUCAUUACAAACAUUUUGAUCAUGAGUGAGAUUAAAGUCAGUGGCUUGUCUUGCAAGUGAAAUGGUAUAGGACAAUGGUUUCCGAAUUUAAGCAAGGAAAAUGAUCCCCUGGAGAUCUUGUUUAAUCUUGUGGAAUUUUUGAGCCCCACUCCCAGACACCUGACUCACACUGAGAAACCUAAAUUCAAGGGGACUUCAGCCUCUUGGUCAGUAUCCCUCCUGGAGAUUAUUCUGAUUCCCGAAGUUCAGUCACAAUAAUACAGACAGGCGCCCCCUGUAGGCUGACCUUAGGACAAGUUUGGAGCCCAGAAAACAUCCCUAAACUUGCAACCAGGCAAGAAAUGAAAGCCAGUAUCCAGAGAAGUACCCUUGGAGACAUUGAUUUUUAUUUGUUUUAAUACCAAAAAAAGAAGUUUGAAAAGUGCCGUUAGGAACUCAGUGGGCAGUACUUUGUUGGUGUACAUUCUUUUCACUUUGACAUUUUCACAUUCAUUCAUGUGACUGGAUGAAGGCGUCAUGACAGUAUUGGGAUGUGUCCCAUGUCCAUCCAGAAAACCAGCACUAAUUCACUACGUCCCUUCUGCUCAUUCCAACAUCAAUUUAUGAAUGAAUCAAAAGUUUAAGCAUUUGGUGGGGGGGGACAACUAGAGAUUUCUUUUUCUUUUUUUAAGCAGAACACCCAAGGUUGUAUCAAAUUCUUUACCAAUCAUCUUAUGUUUCUUUGUUUUAAAAAAGUGGUAUUGGGAAGGAUCCAAUCAUAUAAUAGAAAAUUUCCAUUUUUGUUGAUUUGUAUGCCUUCUAGGUGCCUCCUCCUUCCCUGAUUUUGUGUGAAUUAAAAUAAAAGAGAGACCCAGGAGAGGUCUAAAAGCCUGUCUUCACCCUCCCUAAUAACCCUCCUGAGGACAGAUGACCAUGUUCAGGGUCAAACUCAAGUCUCUUUCUCCUCUUGAGAGGGAUAAUGAAUUCCAUAAGCAUUCAGCAGCCUGAACAUUUGGGGGAAUGCCCAGUCAUCCUCAUUAUUCACUCAAUCUGUAUGUAUCAGGCUUCCCCUAUCCCAGGCACUGAGAACCAAAGUUACCUGCCUUCAUGGAGUUUCCACUCUGGCGAAGUUAGUGAAUGACUUGAAUGACUUGCCUUCAACGUCAUCUCUUUUAACUCAUUCCUUAUAUCCUCUGAGUCUUUAUAAGAUCACAGAUCACCUAGAGAUUGUCUGAAGGGUAACGAGUUUCUCUGACCAGCCGUAACAAGUAACAAACUGAUAAGGACAUAGGAAUAAAUAGAGACUGUUUCAACUCCAAAAGUAUUUCCAACAGGAUAGUUAGGAGGUGGAAUUGGCUUUUUCAAUUCUGAAUAUUAGAAUAUUUAUUUUUGAGUAACCAUACUCAAGUUCAAAAUCAUUUGUGUGAUGGUCCAACUUUAAAUGUACUCAACUAAUUAUAUGCAUAGCAAAGUAUAUGCAUACCAUUAUAAUUAUCUAAAUACAUUUUCCUUUUUUGGGGGGGGGGAACUGCUGCUGUCACUGUGCCAAUUCCUCUCAGCUUCACUGUGCAAACUCUGAAGUCAUUUCUCCGUCCCUGCCUGCCUGGUGCCCACCUGCUAUCUCGAUGGGGCUGCUGCCCCCACCUUAGAAGGCACAGGAAGCACCCAACCAGGACUGACCUAGUUCAGGAAAGGAUUGCUAAAGGCCACGGCAGCCAUGCGAGUUCUGCACCCAGACAUGGGGAUGAGCAUCUUCACUCUCCUAAGGGGCCACCUGGAGCCACCUCAGAGCAGCUAAUGGGAGUUUGAGUGGGGAGUCCAGAACCUCUGACGCUGUGGAGUGAGUACUGCCCUUGACAACAGGAGCAGGGUGCUCAAGCCUCUUUUUCGGAGGAAUUAGGCUAAAGGGCCUGCCAAAAAUUGACUCGCUGAUCUCCGUGGUUCAUGCCUCUCAGGCAAUGUUAGCAAGUAUUAUUUGUCCCUACUUAGUGGGAGGGGAAACUGAGGCAGACAGCCAGAAACGUUAAGUGAAAUUUCCAUGUGACUCUUACAUUCUUGGCACCAUACCAAUUGUUUCUGCUCACUUUCCUGUAACGUAUGUUUGGGUAGAACAUUCUUAUUCAGACAGUCUUUGAGUGGGUGAUUUUGAUGCAGUUGCAAUGUUACUGGAGUGGUGUUGGGAAAUAUUAGGACUCUGAACAUCUUUUAAUUAUGUACUUAGAGCCAGCCGAAAGAAGCAAUGACCUUUUGGUUUCUUUUUAUUUUUUGUUGUGGCUGUUGCUGCCACAGUGAUUAUAUAAGAAUUAUUAAUGCUUACGAAAUCAUAGGCUCUGAGGAAUUAGGGGAGAAAUCACUUAUGACUCAUAAACUUGCACUCAGUUGGAAAAAAAAGCCUUAAGACUUUUAAAGUGAUGUUUCCCUUUUUUGUCAUUUUGGAAACUUAAAAAAUUCUUAUUAAAUUGCACAUAUGCCUUCU